GGAUUAGAUACCCUGGUAGUCCUGGCCGUAAACGAUGAACACUAGGUGUCGGGGGAAUCGACCCCCUCGGUGUCGUAGCCAACGCGUUAAGUGUUCCGCCUGGGGAGUACGCACGCAAGUGUGAAACUCAAAGGAAUUGACGGGGGCCCGCACAAGCGGUGGAGUAUGUGGUUUAAUUCGAUGCAACGCGAAGAACCUUACCAGGGUUUGACAUCCUGCGAAUCUCUUGGAAACAGGAGAGUGCCUUCGGGAACGCAGUGACAGGUGGUGCAUGGCUGUCGUCAGCUCGUGCCG
RNAcentral lists this ribosomal RNA (294 nucleotides) under uncultured bacterium. RNAcentral's name for it is "partial 16S ribosomal RNA". It matches the Rfam family "Bacterial small subunit ribosomal RNA", at positions 775 to 1067 of the family's 1533-position model. The record is from RNAcentral.